Molecule: long non-coding RNA, 368 nt
Filed under: Brassica napus (rape)
Lineage: Eukaryota; Viridiplantae; Streptophyta; Magnoliopsida; Brassicales; Brassicaceae
Description: long non-coding RNA (BNAP_LNC012344)
Source: RNAcentral
CUUCGAAUAAAGAUGUAUUAUUUAUAUGUAUUUUCACCUAAUGUAUUUUCAUAGCUAGUUUUAAAUAGCUUUUAAUUACUAGGUAUACUACAGAGGUUACUAUUGAUAUUAUUUUUACAUGUAUUGUGCACCAUGUUCAAAAUUACGUUAAACGUGAAUCGGGAGAUUGGGUUAGAUGUAACGAAGUAAAAAUUGGAGAUUUCUGUUUUUUUUUUGUCAACCAUAUUUCAUUAGUACUAAAACAUCCAAGUUAUUACAUAGUUUUUAUUAUCAACUCUGUCUUGCUUUGCUAAAGUAUCAACAUAACUUAGACAUUCUCUAGAUACAUAAUAAAAAGUAUAAGCACAUUCUUUCGAACACUCUAUCAC